Zophobas morio is the source of this 736-nucleotide long non-coding RNA. RefSeq lists it as uncharacterized. The record is from RefSeq and is a predicted model, not a curated record. The transcript has 8 exons. Lineage: Eukaryota; Metazoa; Arthropoda; Insecta; Coleoptera; Tenebrionidae.
CUUAAAACUUGUACUAGACAAUAUUUCCUUUAUUAUAAAAAGUGGUGAAAAAGUUGGGGUUGUGGGCCGUACAGGCGCUGGAAAAUCAAGUUUAACUUUAUCUCUUUUCCGUAUUAUUGAACCUUUUUCCGGCUGUAUCGAAAUUGAUGGCGUGAAUAUCCAAAAUGUUUCUUUAUUUACUCUUCGCUCCAGCCUUUCAAUAAUUCCGCAGGAUCCAGUAAUAUUUUUCGGUACAGUUCGUUCGAACCUUGAUCCCUUCUCAUUGUACACCGAUUCUCAAAUUUGGGCUGCAUUAGAGUAUUGUCAUUUGAAAAACUUUGUGAAAGGUUUAGACAAACAACUCGAUCAUGAAAUUUUAGAAGGAGGCAGUAAUUUUAGUGUUGGCCAACGGCAACUCAUUUGUUUAGGGCGCGCUCUUUUAAGAAAAACAAAAAUAUUAAUACUUGACGAGGCAACAGCAGCAGUCGAUCUAGAUACAGACAAGCUAAUUCAAGAAACUAUUCGUUCUGAAUUUCGCAGCUGCACUAUUUUAACUAUUGCUCACCGCAUUAAUACCAUACUCGAUAAUGACAAAGUUCUCGUAUUAGAAAAUGGACGAGUAAAAGAGUUUGAUUCGCCAUCUGUACUUUUGAAUGAACCUAGUAGUCUCUUCUAUGGUUUGGCCAAGGAAUCCAAUCUGGUUUCUUAGCACACCUCUGCUUGCCAAUCAGCAAGAAAUAUCGUUAUUUAUAAGUAA